Molecule: non-coding RNA, 27 nt
Filed under: Rattus norvegicus (Norway rat)
Lineage: Eukaryota; Metazoa; Chordata; Mammalia; Rodentia; Muridae
Source: RNAcentral
UUAUUAGAUGGAUUAGAUGUUGCUGCC